This 372-nucleotide ribosomal RNA is filed under the name uncultured organism. RNAcentral's name for it is "partial 16S ribosomal RNA". It matches the Rfam family "Bacterial small subunit ribosomal RNA", at positions 527 to 896 of the family's 1533-position model. The record is from RNAcentral.
GAAGGUGGCUAGCGUUGUUCGGUGUCACUGGGCUUAAAGCGUGUGUAGGCGGAAAGAUAAGCGUCUUGUGAAAUACCUCGGCUUAACCGAGGAAUUGCUCGGCGAACUAUCUUUCUUGAGGCAAGUAGGAGUGCAUGGAACUCUUGGUGGAGCGGUGGAAUGCGUAGAUAUCAAGAGGAACGCCAAUGGAGAAAUCAGUGCACUGGGCUUGUCCUGACGCUGAGACACGAAAGCGUGGGGGGAGCGAACGGGAUUAGAUACCCCGGUAGUCCACGCCGUAAACGAUGUCUACUAGGUUGUGGGAGUUCUGACACUCUCGCGACCGAAGCAAAAGUGUUAAGUAGACCGCCUGGGAGUACGGUCGCAAGGCUA